AACGAACGCUGGCGGCAUGCCUAACACAUGCAAGUCGAACGAGAUCUUCGGGUCUAGUGGCGCACGGGUGCGUAACGCGUGGGAAUCUGCCCUUUGGUUCGGAAUAACAGUUGGAAACGACUGCUAAUACCGGAUGAUGACGAAAGUCCAAAGAUUUAUCGCCAGAGGAUGAGCCCGCGUAGGAUUAGCUAGUUGGUGUGGUAAAGGCGCACUAAGGCGACGAUCCUUAGCUGGUCUGAGAGGAUGAUCAGCCACAGUGGGACUGAGACACGGCCCAGACUCCUACGGGAGGCAGCAGUGGGGAAUAUUGGACAAUGGGCGAAAGCCUGAUCCAGCAAUGCCGCGUGAGUGAUGAAGGCCUUAGGGUUGUAAAGCUCUUUUACCCGGGAUGAUAAUGACAGUACCGGGAGAAUAAGCUCCGGCUAACUCCGUGCCAGCAGCCGCGGUAA
RNAcentral lists this ribosomal RNA (449 nucleotides) under uncultured bacterium. Its description in RNAcentral is "partial 16S ribosomal RNA". It matches the Rfam family "Bacterial small subunit ribosomal RNA", at positions 29 to 523 of the family's 1533-position model. The record is from RNAcentral.